UUCAUUUGUACCAUUAAUUUGGGUCUCUGA
RNAcentral lists this non-coding RNA (30 nucleotides) under Rattus norvegicus (Norway rat). Lineage: Eukaryota; Metazoa; Chordata; Mammalia; Rodentia; Muridae. The record is from RNAcentral.